UCGAGAUGGGACUAAGCUAUGCUAGUCGCGCGCGUCCAACCAUGAGGACGAGCGGCAGACCGCUCAGUAACACGUAGCUAACCUACCCUCGGGUCGUGAACACCCCCGGGAAACUGGGGCCAAUUCGCGAUAGGUAUGAAGGCCUGGAAUGGUUUCAUGCCCAAAUGCACGGCGAUCAUGUUUGUCGUGUGCCCGAGAUGGGGCUGCGGCCGAUCAGCAGUUGGCGAGGUAACGGCUCACCAAACCUUUGACCGGUACGGGCCAUGAAAGUGGUACCCGGAAUGGGCACUGAACAGGGCCCAGCCCUACGGGGCGCAGCAGGCGCGAAAACUCCACAAUGUACGACAGUACGAUGGGGUUAUCUCGAGUGCAGUCCGAUAAGGGCUGCUUUUCCAUAGAGUAAUAUCCUGUGGGAAUAAGAGGGGGGCAAGACUGGUGUCAGCCGCCGCGGUAACACCAGCCCCUCGAGUGGUGGGGACUAUUAUUUGGUCUAAAGCGUCCGUAGCUGGCUGUGUCCGUCCUCCGUUAAAAUCCAGCGUCCUAAGCGUUGGACUGCGGAUGAUACCACACAGCUAGAGGGUGGGAUAGUGAGCGGUAUUUCUGGGGUAGGGCGAAAUCCUUUGAUCCCAGGAGGACCACCAGUGGCGAAGGC
RNAcentral lists this ribosomal RNA (652 nucleotides) under uncultured archaeon. RNAcentral's name for it is "bacterial SSU rRNA". It matches the Rfam family "Archaeal small subunit ribosomal RNA", at positions 33 to 673 of the family's 1478-position model. The record is from RNAcentral.